UACGUAGGGGGCAAGCGUUGUCCGGAAUCAUUGGGCGUAAAGAGCGUGUAGGCGGCCUGGUAAGUCCGCUGUGAAAGUCCAGGGCUCAACCCUGGGAUGCCGGUGGAUACUGUCGGGCUCGAGUCCGGAAGAGGCGAGUGGAAUUCCUGGUGUAGCGGUGAAAUGCGCAGAUAUCAGGAGGAACACCAAUGGCGAAGGCAGCUCGCUGGGACGUGACUGACGCUGAGACGCGAAAGCGUGGGGAGCAAACAGG
Molecule: ribosomal RNA, 253 nt
Filed under: uncultured bacterium
Lineage: Bacteria
Description: partial 16S ribosomal RNA
Rfam family: Bacterial small subunit ribosomal RNA
Source: RNAcentral